AGUGAACGCUGGCGGUAGGCCUAACACAUGCAAGUCGAACGGCAGCACAGUAAGAGCUUGCUCUUACGGGUGGCGAGUGGCGGACGGGUGAGGAAUACAUCGGAAUCUACUUUUUCGUGGGGGAUAACGUAGGGAAACUUACGCUAAUACCGCAUACGACCUACGGGUGAAAGCAGGGGAUCUUCGGACCUUGCGCGAUUGAAUGAGCCGAUGUCGGAUUAGCUAGUUGGCGGGGUAAAGGCCCACCAAGGCGACGAUCCGUAGCUAGUCUGAGAGGAUGAUCAGCCACACUGGAACUGAGACACGGUCCAGACUCCUACGGGAGGCAGCAGUGGGGAAUAUUAGACAAUGGGCGCAAGCCUGAUCCAGCCAUACCGCGUGGGUGAAGAAGGCCUUCGGGUUGUAAAGCCCCUUUGUUGGGAAAGAUAAGCAGCAGGUUAAUCCCCCGCUGUUCUGACGGUACCCAAAGAAUAAGCACCGGCUAACUUCGUG
This 492-nucleotide ribosomal RNA is filed under the name uncultured bacterium. Its description in RNAcentral is "partial 16S ribosomal RNA". It matches the Rfam family "Bacterial small subunit ribosomal RNA", at positions 29 to 507 of the family's 1533-position model. The record is from RNAcentral.